AUAGAUGCUAGUCUCGGAGACUAAGCCAUGCAUGCCCGUGACGCGAGGAACGGCGAACGGCUCAGCAGUACCGCGAUGAUCUGCCCCUCGCGCGGCGUAACUGCGGGAAACUGCGGCUA
RNAcentral lists this ribosomal RNA (119 nucleotides) under uncultured Microsporidia. RNAcentral's name for it is "partial small subunit ribosomal RNA". It matches the Rfam family "Microsporidia small subunit ribosomal RNA", at positions 24 to 146 of the family's 1311-position model. The record is from RNAcentral. Lineage: Eukaryota; Fungi; Microsporidia.